RNAcentral lists this ribosomal RNA (492 nucleotides) under uncultured bacterium. Its description in RNAcentral is "partial 16S ribosomal RNA". It matches the Rfam family "Bacterial small subunit ribosomal RNA", at positions 29 to 507 of the family's 1533-position model. The record is from RNAcentral.
AGUGAACGCUGGCGGCGGGCCUAACACAUGCAAGUCGAACGGACAGACAGUCAGCGUUUGCCUUUACGGGUGGCGCCUGGCGGGUGUGUGAGCCAUGCAUCGGCGACUUAUAAUACGUGGAGAAUCACGUAGGGCCACUUACGAUACUACCGCAUACGAUCUACCGCAGUAAGCAGUAGUUCUUGAGACAUUGCGCGUUUUAAUAAGCCGGUUUCGUAUUACCUAGUCGACGUGGUAAAGGCUCACCAAGCCCAAGCUGCGUAGCUGGUCUUACAGGAUGAUCGGCCACACUGGAACUGAGACACGGUCCAGACUCCUACGGGAGGCAGCAGUGGGGAAUAUUCGGCAAUGGGCGCAAGCCUGACCCAGCCAUACCGAGUGAGUGAAGAAGGCCUUCGGGUUGUAAAGCCCUGUUAUUGGGAAAGAAAAGAAGCAUAAGAAUCAAUCCCAGUACUGACGGUACCUAAACAGAAAGCACCGGCUAACUUCGUG